RNAcentral lists this ribosomal RNA (357 nucleotides) under Triticum aestivum (bread wheat). RNAcentral describes it as "partial small subunit ribosomal RNA". Lineage: Eukaryota; Viridiplantae; Streptophyta; Magnoliopsida; Poales; Poaceae. The record is from RNAcentral.
AUGCUUACCCAAUCUCCAUGCUCCAAUGUUAUUGGCUCCCAGAUGCCAUGCUCCCCAACGGCAAGCAACCAAUCGACACAACACUUCAACAACAGCAUAAGGAGCAGCAGCUCAACAAUCCUGGCGGUGUCCUACGAUGAUGAGGCAUGCAGGUGGGCGGUGGACGCCGGUUGGGAGGACGGGGUGGAAGGAUCUGACUCAAGUAGGAGGAGGAGGGCACGCCACUGCGUCUCGUCUGAGAUAAUUGGUCGUCAUUGGUUGUGGAAGGAUAGGGCGUCGCCGGCUGGGGAGAGGCCGGAGCUCAUGGAGGCAGGCACAGCGGGAGGGAGGAAGAGGUGGGGAGCAACGGGUAGAUAA